CGGAGGGUGCAAGCGUUGCUCGGAAUUAUUGGGCGUAAAGGGUAGGUAGGUGGUCUCAUUUGUCUGGGGUGAAAGCCUUGAGCUUAACUCAAGAAGUGCCCCAGAAACGGUGAGACUAGAGUCCUGGAGAGGGUCGUGGAAUUCCCGGUGUAGCGGUGAAAUGCGUAGAGAUCGGGAGGAACACCAGAGGCGAAGGCGGCGACCUGGACAGGUACUGACACUCAACUACGAAAGCGUGGGGAGCAAACAGGAUUAGAUACCCUGGUAGUCCACGCUGUAAACGAUGGGUACUAGGUUUGGUGGGUCUUGACCCCCGCGAACCGGCGCUAACGCAAUAAGUACCCCGCCUGGGAAGUACGGUCGCAAGACUA
Molecule: ribosomal RNA, 371 nt
Filed under: uncultured organism
Description: bacterial SSU rRNA
Rfam family: Bacterial small subunit ribosomal RNA
Source: RNAcentral